RNAcentral lists this ribosomal RNA (441 nucleotides) under uncultured bacterium. RNAcentral describes it as "partial 16S ribosomal RNA". It matches the Rfam family "Bacterial small subunit ribosomal RNA", at positions 338 to 795 of the family's 1533-position model. The record is from RNAcentral.
CCUACGGGAGGCAGCAGUAGGGAAUAUUGCACAAUGGGCGAAACCCUGAUGCAGCAACGCCGCGUGAGUGAAGAAGGUUUUCGGAUUGGAAAGCCCUGUUAGCAGGGAAGAGGAUGGACGGUACCUGCAGAGGAAGACACGGCUAACUACGGGCCAGGAGCCGCGGUAAUACGUAGGUGGCAAGCGUUGCUCGGAAUAACUGGGCGUAAAGGAUGCGUAGGCGGUUAAAAAAGUUAUAUGGUAAAUAUAUAGGCUUAACCUGUAGAAAGCAUAUAAAACUGGUGAGCUAGAGUGCAGGAGAGGUAAGUGGAAUGCCUAGUGUAGCGGUGAAAUGCGUAGAGAUUAGGAGGAACACCAGUGGCGAAGGCGACUUACUGGACUGUAACUGACGCUGAGGCAUGAGAGCAUGGGGAGCAAACAGGAUUAGAUACCCGGGUAGUC